AACGAACGCUGGCGGCAGGCCUAACACAUGCAAGUCGAGCGCCCGCAAGGGGAGCGGCGACGGGUGAGUAACGCGUGGGAACGUGCCUCUUGCUACGGAAUAGCCUCGGGAAACUGGGAGUAAUACCGUAUGUGCCCUACGGGGGAAAGAUUUAUCGGCAAGAGAUCGGCCCGCGUUGAAUUAGGUAGUUGGUGGGGUAAUGGCCUACCAAGCCGACGAUCCAUAGCUGGUUUGAGAGGAUGAUCAGCCACACUGGGACUGAGACACGGCCCAGACUCCUACGGGAGGCAGCAGUGGGGAACCUUAGACAAUGGGCGCAAGCCUGAUCUAGCCAUGCCGCGUGAGCGAUGAAGGCCUUAGGGUUGUAAAGCUCUUUCAGUGGGGAAGAUAAUGACUGUACCCACAGAAGAAGCCCCGGCUAACUCCGUG
Molecule: ribosomal RNA, 429 nt
Filed under: uncultured bacterium
Lineage: Bacteria
Description: bacterial SSU rRNA
Rfam family: Bacterial small subunit ribosomal RNA
Source: RNAcentral